Molecule: non-coding RNA, 67 nt
Organism: Trichonephila inaurata madagascariensis
Lineage: Eukaryota; Metazoa; Arthropoda; Arachnida; Araneae; Nephilidae
Source: the annotation of a GenBank genome assembly
GGCCCGUUAGCUCAGUUGGUUGAGCGUCGGCAAAACGCGAAGGUCGGGGUUCGCCCCCCACGGGCCG